CUCCCAUUCCAUUUUCCUUGUGUGUUGUGUGUUUUUUAGAUUACAAGAUGUGACUGUCCUAGAACUUAUGUUUGUAAGCCGCUGUCAGAGAGCCUUUUGACUAAAGGGCAGGGUAUUAUUUUAUUUUCCAAAAAUGAACUCAACUCAUAUCUCCUCCUCUCAGACUGAAAACAGAAAAGAAUAAGAGCAACAAGGAAAAGGAAAUACGGAGAAAAGGUACAAGAAAGAAAUCAGCUUGUCAACGCAAGGAAGAAGUGACUUCCUCUUCGUCUAUGAAGUAGCUGUUUGCACAAAUGUAGGGGAAAUGGAGGGAGCGUGAGGGAAGGGCAGGGAGAAACAGAGAAAGCAUAAGAGAGAGCGGGAGAGGCCAUACGUGUGAGGAGGACAACAAUGCAGAGGAGAGAUGGAAGAAGCGAUUAUGUGACAGGAUUUUACACAGAGGACUCUGAGGGCGCUGUGUUGUGAGGCGAGGAACAGACCCAUGGCUGACCCUGACACCAGAAUGAGCGGAUUCAGGAAAACGACGGCAUGAAGGCAAAGUGUUCAAGCUGCUUCUCCAACUGACCAGUACAAUGAAGCAAGACACAUUUCCUCUGGAUCCAAGAAAGAGUUUUGCAGAUCAGAGAAGAAUAUGCAAACAUUUAUUUUUUUGUCCAGAGCCCAAAGUGUUACUGAAGCAGUUACUGAAGCAAUUAAUUUUUUCUCCCCUGGUAGUCCCCACCCAUUAGUAGUCUCAGUACAGAAUAAAUCUUUCCCUUUUGUAAUCUUUCCCAGAUGUUUGCUAUUCACUUCUUUCUAUUGAAGCUUCUGCUUCCAGAGGGCCUCCGUUAAAACGCAUUUAGUCAGCAGGUACAACAUCUGCCACAUUCUUCUUCACCUGUGCCUCCAAGGUAAAGCCCCUUGCUUUCAGGCUUUGAAAUAAGCAUCUAUUUCCCCCCUUUAUGGGCUAAAGUAAUAUACCUGUACACAAUGACUUGCAAUUAAUUUCAAAACCAGACUUUUCAGACAGGCCAACAGAUUGCUCAGUUAGGGCUGGGCUCGGUUCAGCUGCUGAUAUACAGCAAAGGUGAAGGGAGACCAAUCCUCACAGUGACUUCUGCACCACCAGGCCAAAGGGCAUUGGGCUCUUCAGCACAGCACAAUUGGGCCUCUCUACAUUAUCCUCACAAGAAGUCUGUGAGGAGGUUAGGCUUGGAGGCAGUGCCUGGCCCAGGGUCCCCCAGUGUAUUUCAUGGCAGAACAGGGAUUUGAACCCAGGUCCUAGUCCAACAUUCUAAACACUAUGCCACACUGGCUCUGUCACACCACAAUACUCAUUCUCUCAUCUCUAUAGCAUGGAAGUAUUAGGUUAUAUACAGCUAGGAAUCCCCCCCUUCAUUUCCUGUUUUAUUGUCAGUAGUUUGGUGGUCCUGUGAGAGA
This is a long non-coding RNA of Podarcis muralis (Common wall lizard), 1419 nucleotides long. RefSeq lists it as uncharacterized. NCBI's taxonomy places the organism in Eukaryota, Metazoa, Chordata, Lepidosauria, Squamata, Lacertidae. The record is from RefSeq and is a predicted model, not a curated record.